This 2575-nucleotide long non-coding RNA is filed under the name Helianthus annuus (common sunflower). RNAcentral describes it as "hypothetical non coding rna". Lineage: Eukaryota; Viridiplantae; Streptophyta; Magnoliopsida; Asterales; Asteraceae. The record is from RNAcentral.
GUAACAAUUUCAGUCCCUGUACUUUACUGCAUAAUUGAUUGAGAUGGUUAAAAAAGUGAAACCACAGGGACUGAAAUGGUUACGAAAGUGAAACCACAGGGACUGAAAUCGCAAUUUUUAAACUAAUGGACUGAAAUAGUGAUUUUUGGCAAACCAUAGGGACGAAAACAGUAAUUAACUCAAUAAUAAAAUACAAACUUAUAUUGUUUUUAACAAAAUUACAUAACAUCCGAAAAAUUUUUGAAAAACUACUUAUUAAAUCCUAAAAACUUAAAAAAAAGUUGUUAAUAAUUCUUAAAAAAUUACAAAGUUCUAUAAAUGUUAAAGUGUUAAAUUCCGAAUUCAUGUCGUGCCUCCACUCGAUCUUCGCGAUCUCCAUUCGAUCAUCGUGGCUUAGGUCCCCCACAGGGACACGGUCGAAACAAGCUUUAAACCGAUCCAGCUUCGGUUUUAGGUCACGCCACUUGUGUUAGCAGGCGUUUAAAUUGUGGCGAUUGUUACCAACGUGUUGUUGGUAUUGUUGGAACGUUUGUCCCCAAUACGCGGUUUUGGCCGCGUUGUAACGUACGUUGUGCAUCGACGAUCGAAGUAACUAGCGCGAUCUCCUCUUCUUCCAUCCAGUACACCAUUUUCGGUUUUGUUGUUUAGUUGAAAAAAAAAAUGAAAGUUUGGUGUGAGAUAGGUUGAAGAAGUUUUGUAAAAAUUUGUAGGUGGGGGGGGGUAUUUAUAGGUAAAAAUUUGUAAGGUUUUUUUUUUAAAUUGAUUUUUACCAUUAAAACCGCCAUGCCCAACGGCUAUGGCUAACGACUAUGGCAAACGGUCCAAAAUUGAACAUCUAAUCCUAGCUAGCCAGCUCACCCCGUCCCACGCCUGGCUUCAAAGCGACGCUGGCUGGGCAACGCAAAGCCAACGCUGGCCUGGAGUGGGUUAGCCAGCGUUGUCUGGCUUCCCCCGCCCCAUAAACACCCCCACUCCCCACAGCCUUAACCUUAUUACCAUUUAAAUUAAACUAGAGUCGUAGUUACCCGCGCGUUGCGUAGGGACGCGGUUAGAAUUCGGAACGUAUUGCACACCAUGACAAUCGAUAAAUAAAUUUAUAAAAUUAAUUAAAAUGAUAUAUUAAUGGGUUAUGCUAUUUACGCCGUAACUCGACUCUGAACAUCAAAAUAAUAACAAAAGGUAAAACGUUAUAGUAAAUAACAAAGGUAAAAUUAAGGUAAACGAAAAAAAAAGAUAGAAACUUGGUCGAUUUUGACGCGCUCGUUAUAGCAAAGAAAAAAGUUAAAAAUUAUGUUCAAAAGAGCAUCGGCGUGUUCUUUAAAAAAUAUUAAAAUAAAAAAAUCUUUGCCACACUCGUUAUAGCAAAGCAAAAGAAAAAUAAAAAAAAUAUGUAUAAAACAGUAUUAACGUGUUGGUUAAAAAAAUUAUUUAGGGGUAGAAAAAUAAUUUGGUUAAAGUAAAAGAAAAAAAACAAUAGUUAAACUACAUGGGUUGUAAAUGAAAAAGUUUACACUAGAUUACAAAAUAGAAUAAAUGACAAAAAAAUUGAUGAAGUUGUAAAACAUGUAUUAGACCACCCGUAAUCGUUCAAUUUGUGGUUACGCCAAAAACGCCCAAACAACGCCCCUCGUCGGCCACUGUGGGCGUUAUUUUGAAUUUUUUUUUGUGUUUGGCGUUGGAUUUACAACGCUCUUGCCCGUUUGAAAGUUUGAUUCGGUCGAGAUUUUUGACCGUUUGACAAAUACUUUAAAUAUAUUUUUGAGAAAAAUGCCCGGAUAGUCCCUGUGGUUUCGCCUUUUUUCACCUAUAGUCCCCAACUUUCUAAAAUUACCUGAAUAGUCCCCAAGUUUUCAAUUUUUGUUCCCGGAUAGUCCCUAACACGGAUGGAGGUUAGUUUUUACAGUUAAGUGAGUGUGAAAUAACUAUAAUGCCCUUAAGUAAAACAAAAUGAAUUAAUUCAGUAUUUUUCUUAAAAGAUAAAAACCAAACUCAUCCACCCACCCCUAUCCCCACAUAAGUCUGUCUUCAUCUUCAUCAAACCUUCAGGCCCCCCCUCUCUCUCUCUCUCUAAACCACCACCACCUUCAUCUCCACCACCACCAUAAAACCCCACCUCUAUCACCAACCCAUUGCCCUCGUCGCCUUUCACCGCCAUAGCACUCAGCCACCACUGCCACAACCACCCCCGCCACAACCACCACAGCGGCCGCCAUCAUCACCACUGUUUUUAGAGAAGAAAAGAUCCGACCAGAGUGGGAGUAGAUUGAUAAGAAAGAGAAAGAAACAAGUGGCGGCUGAAAAGUUGUUAGAAAUUCAUUAGGGUUUGUUUAUUAAUUUAUGUUGUGGACUCAUAAGAUAGAAAGAUGAAUUUAAAUUUAUUAUUGCUUUGGGUGUUUGUUAAAUCUAGUUCAAAAUAGCUGGAAUACCCCACAUGGCAAGACAUAAAUUUCCCCUUUUCAUCCCACAUUCCACUUCUUCACUCAACAAAUUAUCUCAAUCGAAUUUGCAAAUCUUUAUUUAAAUCAAAAUUCAAUUUUUUAUGCAAAUCAUCUUCAACGAUUCAAGGUCGGGUUAA